This 486-nucleotide ribosomal RNA is filed under the name uncultured bacterium. Its description in RNAcentral is "partial 16S ribosomal RNA". It matches the Rfam family "Bacterial small subunit ribosomal RNA", at positions 30 to 507 of the family's 1533-position model. The record is from RNAcentral.
AUUGAACGCUGGCGGCAUGCCUUACACAUGCCAGUCGAACGGCAGCACGGGUGCUUGCCCCUGGUGGCGAGUGGCGAACGGGUGAGUAAUACAUCGGAACAUGUCCUGUAGUGGGGGAUAGCCCGGCGAAAGCCGGAUUAAUACCGCAUACGAUCUACGGAUGAAAGCGGGGGACCUUCGGGCCUCGCGCUAUAGGGUUGGCCGAUGGCUGAUUAGCUAGUUGGCGGGGUAAAGGCCUACCAAGGCGACGAUCAGUAGCUGGUCUGAGAGGACGACCAGCCACACUGGGACUGAGACACGGCCCAGACUCCUACGGGAGGCAGCAGUGGGGAAUUUUGGACAAUGGGCGAAAGCCUGAUCCAGCAAUGCCGCGUGUGUGAAGAAGGCCUUCGGGUUGUAAAGCACUUUUGUCCGGAAAGAAAUCCUUGGCCCUAAUACGGUCGGGGGAUGACGGUACCGGAAGAAUAAGCACCGGCUAACUACGUG